Molecule: long non-coding RNA, 595 nt
Filed under: Vigna radiata
Lineage: Eukaryota; Viridiplantae; Streptophyta; Magnoliopsida; Fabales; Fabaceae
Description: long non-coding RNA (VRAD_LNC011025)
Source: RNAcentral
UCUCCUAUGCUACUUCUGACACAUAUUUCUCUCUUUCCAAUUUCUCUUCUCUCUCUCACCAUUACAACAUAAUUAUAAGUAACUCUCUCUCUCACCUUUUUCUCUCUCUUCUAUUUCUGUCACUCUUCACUAUUUCACUUCUCUCUCUUCACUAUUUCACUAUUUCAAAACAAGAAAAAUCCCCUCAGUUCAGAUCAACAAAGUUGCAAAUAACUGUAUUAACUGCCAUUUGCCCAGCGCAAUGAUAGAUCUAACUCUAAUGACCAAUCCCCUCAACUCAAUUAAUUACAUUUUGCUGAGCGAAUUUAUGCAGAUCUGGAAAAAAUUGAGUGGGCUUUCUCCAUGGGCCUUGUAUGAAUUUUGUAGCAUUGAACACUAUAUAUAGGUGUCCGUACAGUCACUUUAGAGGGAGACUCUUUAGUCAGUUCAUCUAGUUUUCAAUUUCUUUAAACACUUUCCAAAUUUUGCCUUUUAGAAUUACGAGUUUCUCUCCAUUUUCUAACUUUCUUAACAAGCUUUCUUCUACAUUUGAAGCAUUUUCAGAUUCAACAAUUUAAUUCAGUUCUAGAUUUCUAAUUUCUAAUCAAUUUUUUUU